This is a long non-coding RNA of Nematostella vectensis (starlet sea anemone), 1565 nucleotides long. RefSeq lists it as uncharacterized. Lineage: Eukaryota; Metazoa; Cnidaria; Anthozoa; Actiniaria; Edwardsiidae. The transcript has 2 exons. The record is from RefSeq and is a predicted model, not a curated record.
ACAAUCGUCUAUUUUUCACAUCCCGGUCUCUACUUUUAGCUUUUUAAAAGUUAAUAGCCAAAUUUUCGAAAGAAAUAUGUUUGCUAAAUGAAUACGUAUUUAUUUGUUUAUACCUUUAGAUUGUAUAACACUCUUUUCGCUGAUCGAGAUGACACUCAAUCUUAUUAAGAUAUAUAUAGCAAAUAGUACUCCCUUAAUAUUUUUCAACGAUUCUGUAUUAUGCUAGAACUACUCAAUAUAUGUAAGCCAAUAUUUCUCAGCGGCAAAAAAGCCGAAUUAGACCAAAGCACUUUAUAGACCUGCACAAUUCCACUAUUGGCUCAUAAGAUCCAAUAAUAGCAAUAUCUUGUGAUCACCACUCCAUUUGGAAGCUUUUCUUCCUGUUCGAGCCUUGGGCUAGAGGAUAAACGUGUGACGUCGUUUCAGUUGCGAUCUAAGACGACUGCUUCUGCGGUAAUUACUCCUGCUAAUCGCGGUAAUGACUCGGAAGUGUGUUCUAAUGCACUUGUAUGCGUCAGCGACUUACUCAGGUGACGCGCGAUUAUUGUCAAGAAACUGGUAUAUUCGAUUUUCAGCAGUGAAAUAAGGAGAGUAGAAAAUGUAUAUUUGCAUCGCGCUAUUAACAAUUGGGGAUUUGUAUUCGGUAACUGGUAUUUGUAACGGUUGAAGAAUGCGCUCAUGCCGGUCAGCGGUGGAGGAAGAGUGUGAAGCAUCCUGGGAAGGCAAGCAAAUGGCACUGUCAUCACGUGCACUCGUGUGUUUUACGCAUGCGUGCUAUUUCGCUGGGUCAAAAAGAUGAUAGCAGGUAAUUACAAAAACACACUUGCACAUUCCUUUGAAUGUCAGUUAAUUAAGAUCAACCCCACGCCUUGCUUUCCAUCACGAAAUCUUGCGAUUUGUGCAGGUACCGGUACCUCUAUAAGAGGAACCGAGGGAAUCUACCUGUGGCUAUGUUCAGUACUAGCUUUAGAGACACUCUGCUUUCCAAAGUUAAUUUUAAAGGCUCUUUGACGGUUUUCAAGGUUCAGAGUACCUACAAAAGGCUGAUUCGCUCAUUUCAUAACACGUUCUCUAAAGUCGGCUGUUUACACAUCAUUUAUUUGCUUAUAAUAUUUUAGUAUUUUUAACGCUCUGCGGCGUCCGCCACGAAGUCUUGUUCUGGCUUACUUUACAAUAUUGCGUGACUCAACCAAACCAGGGCGUUACUGCAGAGACUUUGCACAGAACGAACCGCAAGGUCUAGCGCCACUUCGCUUUCACUUUACGUCUUCGCGAGCGCAACACGUUUUGAAAGCAAUCAGUGUCGACUCGAGCUUAACGGCUUAGAGCUAAGCUUAAUGUCAGUUGUGUGCGUCCAAAAAUGCAGGUUAAAUCACGGACUGGCGAGUUGAUGUAGGUCAUAUCGGCUUGACGUGAGAUUUAUUUGAUGAUAAAGUGUUGACUACUCAUGUGGUAUUCGCUUUAGCUGUCCACAACUUCAAGAUCGUUAUGAUAACAUUGCAGAUGUACCUCUGGUGGAAUUCGAAGAACUGUGAGCACAAACGCACAGUCAUCGCUUUGUAGUC